GAUCAUGGCCCAGGAUGAACGCUAGCUACAGGCUUAACACAUGCAAGUCGAGGGGCAGCAUGGUCUUAGCUUGCUAAGGCCGAUGGCGACCGGCGCACGGGUGAGUAACACGUAUCCAACCUGCCGUCUACUCUUGGACAGCCUUCUGAAAGGAAGGUUAAUACAAGAUGGCAUCAUGAGUCCGCAUGUUCACAUGAUUAAAGGUAUUCCGGUAGACGAUGGGGA
RNAcentral lists this ribosomal RNA (225 nucleotides) under uncultured bacterium. RNAcentral's name for it is "partial 16S ribosomal RNA". It matches the Rfam family "Bacterial small subunit ribosomal RNA", at positions 15 to 231 of the family's 1533-position model. The record is from RNAcentral.